Molecule: long non-coding RNA, 852 nt
Organism: Dreissena polymorpha
Lineage: Eukaryota; Metazoa; Mollusca; Bivalvia; Myida; Dreissenidae
Exons: 4
Source: RefSeq, a predicted model, not a curated record
GGAAUAGUGUGUACAUUCGCUGCUGAGUGAGGACAAGGAUGCCAAGGAUGUGGUGGACAAGGAUGACCUGAAUACACAGAAGCUACUGCUCAGCAAAGAAUACAACUGUCUGGUGAAAGGCUCGACCGUAUCAAAGUCCAGUGAUGUCGGGGUACGCGGCCGUUCCAUGUCUAGGGAUUGCAUUUUUGCCGACACUAACAAGGGAGAGAACUGAAGAUCUGCACCUGCAAAGAGCACCAGCCUUGAUAUAGAGUUGGUACGGCAACGACACAAGUCGGGCCCGCUGGAGCCCCAGUCCAGCACGACCCCUCCCCUGACCCCUAGCUCCUCCCAUUUGACCUCCGGCAUCAAAGAGUCAGCAUUGUUUAACAAUUCCAUCCCAUAGCAAUUUCUGAGCACAUAGAGUGUUUGCACAUUUUUCUCAACAAGCGCAAUGUCCGUGUUGAGUCUGCACUUGGGCCCUGAUUGGUUUGAUAGACUCAAGUGCCGGAGGUGGUAGAAGUGUUACAGACAUAAGAAGUUAUUGCAGCAGUUAUGGUAACACUAACAGUCCGCUCUCGCUGUUGGACAUUACAAUGAAUAUUACGAAAAAUACAAAUCUGGAUAACUCAUUCCAUUCUUUUUGUGACAAACAGAACUGCAGCAAGGAACAGGAGAAAAUCACGGAAUGUUUGAAGAGUUUAAGUCAGAAGCGUUAGCUUUCCACCCGGGAUACUCCUGGAUGGUCUUGAUUUAAGGGACAGUCCAGGUUUGUCCUCUCAGGUGUCCAAACUGUCCAAAGAGAAUGUAUUUAUUUUUGACGCAGUUGCUUACAAAGAAAGGCAGUACCGACUUUGUUGUGAACAGUCAAGC